CUUAAGCCCACGUUUUCAUUUCCACUUGUGAAGAAAGAUUAAGCCACGUUAAUACAUGAGGUGUAGCUCCUAUCUCUUAAGAGUUCAUCCCUAUCUCUUAAUUUUUAUUUAAAUUUUUCAUUUAAUUUUAAUAACAUUUUUAUCUAGAUAUUUUUGUGAUCUCAAAAAUAUUUUUCUUUUAUUUUUCUGAGAUAUAAAUUUAUACUGUUGAGUAAACUACUGUUCGAAAUUCGGUAGAAUUUUAAGCUCAAACUUUUACCAUAGCUUACUAAAAUAUUUUAUAAUUGAUAUCUAAAGUUACUUUCCUUAAAUUCACAGUCUAGAGAUUAUAUCGAUAAUUAUCAAUCUACAUAAGGUAAAAUACUAUCAAAGCACACAUAAAAUAAUUCUGAAAUAUUAGGAUAUCACAAUGACAUAUUUUUAUAAACUAUUUAUUUUUAACGGUGUAUACUUUUACACUGCCAGUUCUAAAAUUUCAACCAUAGCCUACACUAAAUUAAUAUAUUAGAUUUAUAGGUUUCCUUUAUCUAAAGUUCAUUUCUAAGAAAAUAAUUACUUAAAC
Molecule: long non-coding RNA, 562 nt
Filed under: Trifolium pratense (red clover)
Lineage: Eukaryota; Viridiplantae; Streptophyta; Magnoliopsida; Fabales; Fabaceae
Description: long non-coding RNA (TPRA_LNC008475)
Source: RNAcentral